UAUAACAGCCAUAUCACCCUGCAACUCACAACUGGCAACCCACUGAAGCUCAGCAGGUGUGAGCCUGGUCAGUACCUGGAUAGGAGACCUCCUGGGAAAAACUAAGGUUGCUGCUGGAA
Molecule: ribosomal RNA, 119 nt
Organism: Lepisosteus oculatus (spotted gar)
Lineage: Eukaryota; Metazoa; Chordata; Actinopteri; Semionotiformes; Lepisosteidae
Source: Ensembl